Molecule: long non-coding RNA, 895 nt
Organism: Trifolium pratense (red clover)
Lineage: Eukaryota; Viridiplantae; Streptophyta; Magnoliopsida; Fabales; Fabaceae
Exons: 2
Source: RefSeq, a predicted model, not a curated record
UUCAAAGUAAUUAACCUCCAAUUAUUUUCAGUUCUUCAUCAUGAUCUUUGGUAAGACUUACAUUUCUGGUUUCACUUUUUGAUUAUCCGUUUUUCAUCAUGCUAACCAAGUCUCUUUAAUUAAGUUGCAGUUAAAUGCUUAUUAUUACUUCUCAUUCACAACUCAUCAUGACAUGUUUAUUAGUUUCCAAGUUUAAUUGGAUCAAGCUUCAUCAAUGGCUACUCAAAUAAAGAAUAUUGUGUGAUGAUUAUUAUAUGAUGAUUAAUGGAUGGAUCAAUGAAGAUAUGAAGAUAUGGAGGAAUCAUCUCACAGGAGACACACAGAGAACGACAAAACCAUAGUCACGCAUGCCACACCUAGCACCACCAACCCCAACUCCCCUUCAAUUCUUUGUAGUUUUUUUCAAUAAUAAUACUUUAUUAUUUAUCUAAGAUUAAUUAAUAAUUAAUUACUAACAUUUCAAAGAAAUAUUAAUAUAAUAAAAAUAUUUUAUUUUAUUACUUCUUCAAUCCUAAAUACCUAAAUAUAUGACACGGUUGAAUCGAUAUAAAAGUUGAUGUAUUUGAUUCAGAGACAGAUCGACGAAUGUUGAUUCAGCUGUUUCUUGUGUUAUUAGGUUAUUAGGACGGAGAGAGUAUAUAUAUUAUAUUAUAUUGAAAAAAAGAAAAAGGCUCAUGUAUCUAUCUAUCUAUAUGUUCAAAGUUGAAACCUCUAAUGUUGAUUUGUGGUGGAUGUAUAUAUUGUAUACAUAAGAAAGGUGAAAGCAUGUACAGUGAAAACCUAUCGGAUGUGAAAUGGUUUCUCUAUCUGUCUGCAGGUGCCGUGUAGCUAGGUCUUUCUUUCUUUCUAGCUUACUAUGGCACCAAAACUAUUACAGUACAUCUUCUUCUUUCAA